UACAGAGGGGGCAAGCGUUGUUCGGAAUUACUGGGCGUAAAGGGCGCGUAGGCGGCCUUCUAAGUCGAACGUGAAAUCCCUGGGCUCAACCCAGGAACUGCGUCCGAUACUGGGAGGCUUGAAUCCGGGAGAGGGAUGCGGAAUUCCAGGUGUAGCGGUGAAAUGCGUAGAUAUCUGGAGGAACACCGGUGGCGAAGGCGGCAUCCUGGACCGGCAUUGACGCUGAGGCGCGAGAGCCAGGGGAGCAAACGGG
RNAcentral lists this ribosomal RNA (253 nucleotides) under uncultured bacterium. RNAcentral's name for it is "partial 16S ribosomal RNA". It matches the Rfam family "Bacterial small subunit ribosomal RNA", at positions 524 to 776 of the family's 1533-position model. The record is from RNAcentral.